AUGUGCCGGAACCUGACUACGAUUUCUUCAAAAUUCUGGUGGGCAACAACAAACGGUGAGCGAAAGGUACACUGGAUAUCUUGGCAGAAAAUGUAUGCAGCAAAACGGGAUGGAGGCAUGGGUUUCAGAGACCCCGAGGCUUUCAACCAAGCUUUAUUUGCGAAGCAAGCUUGGAGAGUUCUUCAGGUGCCAACCUCACUGUGUGCAAGAGUGCUUAAGGCGCGUUAUUUCAGCGAGGAUUCGAUCCUAACAGCAACAGCCCCCGCUUCUGCGUCGUAUACCUUCCGUAGUAUUCUUCACGGACGGGAU
Molecule: ribosomal RNA, 309 nt
Filed under: Triticum aestivum (bread wheat)
Lineage: Eukaryota; Viridiplantae; Streptophyta; Magnoliopsida; Poales; Poaceae
Description: partial small subunit ribosomal RNA
Source: RNAcentral